Molecule: ribosomal RNA, 497 nt
Filed under: uncultured bacterium
Lineage: Bacteria
Description: bacterial SSU rRNA
Rfam family: Bacterial small subunit ribosomal RNA
Source: RNAcentral
UGGCGGCGUGCUUAACACAUGCAAGUCGCGCGUGAAAGGACUUCGGUCCGAGUAAAGCGGCGCACGGGUGAGUAACGCGUGGAUGAUCUACCCAUGAGUUAGGAAUAACGGCUGGAAACGGUCGCUAAUACCAAAUACGCUCCGAUUUCAACUUCGGGGGAAAGGUGGCCUCUGCUUGCAAGCUACUGCUCAUGGAUGAGUCCGCGUCCCAUUAGCUAGUUGGUGGGGUAACGGCCCACCAAGGCGACGAUGGGUAGCCGGUCUGAGAGGAUGACCGGCCACACUGGGACUGGAACACGGCCCAGACUCCUACGGGAGGCAGCAGUGGGGAAUAUUGCGCAAUGGGCGAAAGCCUGACGCAGCGACGCCGCGUGAGGGAUGAAAGGUCCUCGGAUCGUAAACCUCUGUCAGGAGGGAAGAACCGCCACGGUGCUAAUCAGCCGUGGUCUGACGGUACCUCCAAAGGAAGCACCGGCUAACUCCGUGCCAGCAGCUGC